UACGGGGGGGGCAAGCGUUGUUCGGAAUUACUGGGCGUAAAGGGCUCGUAGGCGGCCAACUAAGUCAGACGUGAAAUCCCUCGGCUUAACCGGGGAACUGCGUCUGAUACUGGAUGGCUUGAGUGUGGGAGAGGAAUGCGGAAUUCCAGGUGUAGCGGUGAAAUGCGUAGAGAUCCGGAAGAACACCGGUGGCGAAGGCGGCUCUCUGGACCACAACUGACGCUGAGGCGCGAAAGCGUGGGGAGCAAACAGG
This 253-nucleotide ribosomal RNA is filed under the name uncultured bacterium. Its description in RNAcentral is "partial 16S ribosomal RNA". It matches the Rfam family "Bacterial small subunit ribosomal RNA", at positions 524 to 776 of the family's 1533-position model. The record is from RNAcentral.